CGGGAUGCAGCAGUCGAGAAUCUUCGGCAAUGGACGAAAGUCUGACCGAGCGACGCCGCGUGCGGGAUGAAGGUCUUCGGAUUGUAAACCGCUGUCAGAGGGGAUGAAGUAUACGAGAGCUAUCUCUUGUAUUUGACAGAGCCUCAGAGGAAGCACGGGCUAAGUUCGUGCCAGCAGCCGCGGUAAUACGAACUGUGCGAACGUUAUUCGGAAUCACUGGGCUUAAAGGGUGCGUAGGCGGUUUUCUAAGUCACGUGUGAAAUCUUCCGGCUCAACCGGAAAACUGCGCGUGAUACUGGAGGACUUGAGUGAGGUAGGGGUGUGUGGAACUUCCGGUGGAGCGGUGAAAUGUGUAGAGAUCGGAAGGAACGCCAGCAGCGAAAGCGGCACACUGGGCCUUGUCUGACGCUGAGGCACGAAAGCUAGGGAAGUGAACGGGAUUAGAUACCCCAGU
Molecule: ribosomal RNA, 454 nt
Filed under: uncultured Planctomyces sp.
Lineage: Bacteria; Pseudomonadati; Planctomycetota; Planctomycetia; Planctomycetales; Planctomycetaceae
Description: bacterial SSU rRNA
Rfam family: Bacterial small subunit ribosomal RNA
Source: RNAcentral